GCCAUUCUCAGCCAUGGUCUGCGGGUUUUGCUUGACUUCAGCGACCCAUGCAAUCCUAGACAGCUUGACUGGUGUUAUUCCAACACAUGAAAAGUCAUUCAUCAUCACAUAACAAGCUGUAUUUUUCAAGCCUCUUUUACUGAAUGACAAACCAUCUUGCAGCAUGACUGGAGCUCCUUAUGAUAAAAGGAUUAUGGAAAGGAGGAAGUUGGGAAGAUGUGAACAAGAUCGACAACGGCUUGCACACUUUGAAGAAUACCCAAAACGUCUUUGAAAAUAGAGUCCACAAGUGGAAUUCACAGCAGGCAAGUGAAUGGAUGGUCCUCUCUCCAGGCUCUCACAUUCCUCCAGGACAUCUGGGCAACUGGAGUCAAAGGCAAAGCAAAACUUUCUAGGAUUUCUACCAUCUGAUCCCAUAGGUUUAAUAUCAUUUAAAUUAGUGCUACCUACUUCUCUUCCCUAGAGUCACUAAUUUCUCAUGUAACCCCCAUCUGAUCAUAAGAAAAAUCAUUUGUGAAAUCCCGGUUGAAAGCAUUCUCCAAGAUACCCAACAGUAUUCCUCAAAACUAUCAAAAGUAAGGAAGGAGUCACAGUCAAGAGAAGCUUUGUGAAGACAUGAUGACUAAGUUCCAGGUGAGAUCCUGAAACAGAGAAAAUGACAUUUUGCAAAAACUAAAAAACUGAUUAAGAAUGGAUUUUAUGGUGAUGGGAAACCCGCGGGGAUUACAAUCGAGAUGGA
Long non-coding RNA from Condylura cristata (star-nosed mole), 739 nucleotides. RefSeq lists it as uncharacterized. The record is from RefSeq and is a predicted model, not a curated record. Lineage: Eukaryota; Metazoa; Chordata; Mammalia; Eulipotyphla; Talpidae. The transcript is spliced from 6 exons.